CUCAGGCCAGAAUACAGUUAAAAGGCGAUCUUUCAGAAACUGGGCCUUUUGGCUGAGAGCCAGCCCUUGCCAAGACAACCAGUGCACAGCGCCACCUUCUGCAAAGCCAGGACAGCUCUUCGGAGUUUCCCUCACGGAUGUGUGUGACAAGGACAACUUGCCCUCUGCAAUUCUGGAUUUUCUUCGAAAUAUCCAAGGAAGUAUAUUUUUAUCUGAUCUCUAUGACAAAUGGCUUGGUGUUAUUGAUCAAGGGAACGAGGAGGAGAAAAUAAUUGCGGCCCAGAGGCUUUUAGCCCAGCUGCCAAGAGCGAAUUUUGUUCUCUUGCGAUACCUUUUUGGAGUGUUACACAACAUUGAGCAACAUUCCUCAUCCAAUUAGAUGACAGCUUAUAAUUUAUCCGUGUGUAUAGCCCCAAGCAUUCUUUGUCCACCUAAUUCCUG
Molecule: long non-coding RNA, 441 nt
Organism: Ailuropoda melanoleuca (giant panda)
Lineage: Eukaryota; Metazoa; Chordata; Mammalia; Carnivora; Ursidae
Exons: 3
Source: RefSeq, a predicted model, not a curated record